RNAcentral lists this ribosomal RNA (352 nucleotides) under Tomosvaryella sylvatica. Its description in RNAcentral is "partial 12S ribosomal RNA". The record is from RNAcentral. Lineage: Eukaryota; Metazoa; Arthropoda; Insecta; Diptera; Pipunculidae.
UAAAAAUUUAAUUUAAAAUAUUUAAGUAGUAUUAGUUAAGUUCUUGAAAUUUAAAAAAUUUGGCGGUAUUUUAGUCUAUUCAGAGGAACCUGUUUUUUAAUCGAUAAUCCACGAUGUAUCUUACUUAAAUUUAUUUAGUUUAUAUAUCGUCGUUUACAGAAUAUUUUAUUAAAAUAAUAAUUUUCUAAAUUUUGUAUUAAAAAAUAUAUCAGAUCAAGAUGUAGCUUAUGUUUAAGUUUAUAAUGGGUUACAAUUUUUAUAUAAUUGGAAAUAAGUUUAAAAUUAUUUAUUGAAAUUGGAUUUGAUAGUAAAUUUAUAUAGAUAAAUAAAUUGAUUUUAGCUCUAAAAUAUG